This 253-nucleotide ribosomal RNA is filed under the name uncultured bacterium. RNAcentral's name for it is "partial 16S ribosomal RNA". It matches the Rfam family "Bacterial small subunit ribosomal RNA", at positions 524 to 776 of the family's 1533-position model. The record is from RNAcentral.
UACGUAGGGGGCAAGCGUUGUCCGGAAUUAUUGGGCGUAAAGAGCGUGUAGGCGGUCCGGUAAGUCAGCUGUGAAAGUCAAGGGCUCAACCCUUGAAUGCCGGUUGAUACUGUCGGGCUAGAGUCCGGAAGAGGCGAGUGGAAUUCCCGGUGUAGCGGUGAAAUGCGUAGAUAUCAGGAGGAACACCGGUGGCGAAAGCGCUCAUCUGGCCCAAUACUGACGCUGAGGCGCGAAAGCUAGGGGAGCAAACGGG